Molecule: ribosomal RNA, 372 nt
Filed under: uncultured organism
Description: bacterial SSU rRNA
Rfam family: Bacterial small subunit ribosomal RNA
Source: RNAcentral
CGGAGGGUGCGAGCGUUGUCCGGAAUCAUUGGGCGUAAAGGGCGCGUAGGUGGCCUGGUCAGUCGGUGGUGAAAGCGCGGGGCUCAACUCCGCGUCUGCCGUCGAUACUGCUGGGCUUGAGCACUGUAGAGGCAGGCGGAAUUCCGGGUGUAGCGGUGGAAUGCGUAGAGAUCCGGAAGAACACCGGUGGCGAAGGCGGCCUGCUGGGCAGUGGCUGACACUGAUGCGCGACAGCGUGGGGAGCAAACAGGAUUAGAUACCCUGGUAGUCCACGCCGUAAACGAUGGGCACUAGGCGCUUGGGGGAGCGACCCUCCGAGGGCCGGCGCUAACGCAUUAAGUGCCCCGCCUGGGGAGUACGGCCGCAAGGCUG